AACCUCCGCAAUGCGAGCAAUCGCGACGGGGGGACCCCAAGUGCCACUCUUAACGGGGUGGCUUUUCUUAAGUGUAAAAAGCUUUUGGAAUAAGGGCUGGGCAAGACCGGUGCCAGCCGCCGCGGUAACACCGGCAGCUCUAGUGGUAGCCAUUUUUAUUGGGCCUAAAGCGUUCGUAACCGGUUUGAUAAGUCUCUGGUGAAAUCCUAUAGCUUAACUGUGGGACUUGCUGGAGAUACUAUUAGACUUGAGGUCGGGAGAGGUUAGCGGUACUCCCAGGGUAGGGGUGAAAUCCUGUAAUCCUGGGAGGACCACCUGUGGCGAAGGCGGCUAACUGGAACGAACCUGACGGUGAGGGACGAAAGCCAGGGGCGCGAACCGGAUUAGAUACCCGGGUAGUCCUGGCCGUAAACGAUGUGGACUUGGUGUUGGAAUGGCUUCGAGCUGCUCCAGUGCCGAAGGGAAGCUGUUAAGUCCACCGCCUGGGAAGUACGGUCGCAAGACUGAAACUUAA
This 514-nucleotide ribosomal RNA is filed under the name uncultured archaeon. Its description in RNAcentral is "bacterial SSU rRNA". It matches the Rfam family "Archaeal small subunit ribosomal RNA", at positions 345 to 859 of the family's 1478-position model. The record is from RNAcentral.